Long non-coding RNA from Mercenaria mercenaria, 1117 nucleotides. RefSeq lists it as uncharacterized. The transcript has 2 exons. The record is from RefSeq and is a predicted model, not a curated record. NCBI's taxonomy places the organism in Eukaryota, Metazoa, Mollusca, Bivalvia, Venerida, Veneridae.
GGUUAUAUCAGUGUGGGGAAUCACGUGACCCAAAAUGGUACGGAACACGGAAAUCAAGAUGGCGGAUUUUUGACUUUUUUACCAAUUUUCAAAGACAUGGCCACCGGGUCUGACACUUGGGAAAAAGAAGUGGAUAAAGAAGCAAAACAAGAAUGUCGAUAACUUUUCAAUUGCCGCAAUCCGUCAAGCAAUCACCAGCGAGAAACCAUCUAAAUCACCUCUGUACAACUCAUCUCCAGCAAAUAAAAAAAAUAAAGUGAAUUUGGUAACCUGUCGUUUCCAAAAAUCAAUUUACAAUAACUCCCGAUAAAGGUCUUCAAGAUCACUUUUUGGACAUGUAGAGGAAAACAGUGAUACCAGAGACGAUGUAGAACAUUUCUUAAACACUGAAUUACUGUGUGAAGAAAUCAAAUGUUCGAUACUGCAAGCAGAAAGAGACUUCCUGUGAAAAGAAAACAGGGAACUGUUAGUACAUCAAGGAACGCAGUUCAGAAAGGAGCUCUGUGUAUAAGGUGGGAGAAGGCUAGGACGAAUGAAAUAAAAUGCUACCGAUGAAGAGGAUGGGACUGGACUGGGAAGUGCUUAUGAACGAGAAAAGAAAUAGUUACGAUAUCAGUACCGAAAAUAAAGGGAAGAUGAUAUAAAUACAAUUGGAGAAAAGAAACAUUAUUUGGGUACUUAAUGUGAAAGGGAAUGUGAUAUAAAUAUACACUAAAUGAGAACAAAAACCGGAAGUAAAAUAGAUACUGAGUGAAGAAAGAACCGAUGUUUUUAAUAGUAAAUGGUAGGGAAAAUUUGAUACAUUCAGUAAACAAUGUGAAAACAGUGUGAUUAAAAUCAUGGGGCUAAAUUUUAUGCAAAAGGACAUUAUGUGAUAUAAGUUGACAUACUAAAUGGGAAUAGAAAGACUCAAUGACAUUGAGAAAAAGAAAUUUUAAGAAGUUUUAAUUUAUUGUUGGAAGUUUGCUGUAUAGAUUCUGUAUAGAUAAUGAAAAUGAGCUUUGAUAGCUUUUUUGUCAAUUGAAAAAAUGAUAUGUUCUUUUUUUGCACAUGUUUUUGUGACAAAAUUUUGUUUAAUUAUGUUUUUAAUUGCAAUAAAGAAGUAAUCGAACUGUUA